GACGAACGCUGGCGGCGUGCUUAACACAUGCAAGUCGAACGGAAAGGCCCUGCUUUUGUGGGGUGCUCGAGUGGCGAACGGGUGAGUAACACGUGAGUAACCUGCCCUUGACUUUGGGAUAACUUCAGGAAACUGGGGCUAAUACCGGAUAGGAGCUCCUGCUGCAUGGUGGGGGUUGGAAAGUUUCGGCGGUUGGGGAUGGACUCGCGGCUUAUCAGCUUGUUGGUGGGGUAGUGGCUUACCAAGGCUUUGACGGGUAGCCGGCCUGAGAGGGUGACCGGCCACAUUGGGACUGAGAGACGGCCCAGACUCCUACGGGAGGCAGCAGUGGGGAAUAUUGCACAAUGGGCGGAAGCCUGAUGCAGCAACGCCGCGUGCGGGAUGACGGCCUUCGGGUUGUAAACCGCUUUCGCCUGUGACGAAGCGUGAGUGACGGUAAUGGGGAAAGAAGCACCGGCUAACUACGG
This 467-nucleotide ribosomal RNA is filed under the name uncultured bacterium. Its description in RNAcentral is "partial 16S ribosomal RNA". It matches the Rfam family "Bacterial small subunit ribosomal RNA", at positions 28 to 506 of the family's 1533-position model. The record is from RNAcentral.